AGCCCUGAAAACUUAAGCCCGGGUUGGUAGAAACGACCUUUUCCACUCCCAUCCCAAACUAUGGUUUGGGAAAAGGUUUUACACUCGAUUGUGAGGAGACCACCUGAUGAAUCUUGGAAAGCAAUCAUAUACUCGUACUUGCAAUGGACCUUAAAGAAUUUACAUCAAAAUUAGUAGUACGUAUUUCGUGACAAGUAAAGUUAUAGUAUACAAGGUUCAGAAGUAGUAUGGCUUUGGCUUAUGACAAGGGAUGCAAGUGUAUGGAGAUAACAAAUUUUGGAUCAAAAGAAGUAUUAGUAUUUAUCUCAUGACAACUGAUGAAAGGAUGCAAAUGGUAGACAAAGAUCAAAUUGCAAGUAGUGGUAAUAGUGUGGCUUCUGUUUUAGUGUUUUCGGCGUGUCAGCAGAAUCAAUAAUGUAGUGUUACGAUUCAAGAGACAAUAUUCUGCUACUCUCUACUCAUGUGGAAACAGUUAUAUGAUCAAGGUGGUCUAUAGCUAUACUAGAUCUAAUAUAUUAAAAGAUAACGGUUGUUAAAUAGUAUGCUUGUGGAAUCUUAUCCCGUUACCCCUUUAGCUCCAUUGUA
This is a long non-coding RNA of Erigeron canadensis, 585 nucleotides long. RefSeq lists it as uncharacterized. The record is from RefSeq and is a predicted model, not a curated record. The transcript is spliced from 3 exons. Lineage: Eukaryota; Viridiplantae; Streptophyta; Magnoliopsida; Asterales; Asteraceae.